This is a long non-coding RNA of Malaclemys terrapin pileata, 1111 nucleotides long. RefSeq lists it as uncharacterized. Lineage: Eukaryota; Metazoa; Chordata; Testudines; Emydidae. The record is from RefSeq and is a predicted model, not a curated record. The transcript is spliced from 2 exons.
UAGGCUUGUAGGCAAAUGUUGUGGGCUAUACAGAAGUCCCACAGCCUGAGGGUUUCCUGGCAGAGGAGCAGGCCACGCCUUGCCUAUUGAUGUAAAACAUUGAGGCUGUGUUGUCCGUGAGAACCCUGACCACUCUGCCCUCCAGGUGCGAGCGGAAGGCCACGCAUGCUAGCCGGACUGCCUGGAGCUCCUUGACGUUUAUAUGCACAGACCUUGGGUCUGAAUAUUCCCCAAAUGGGCCCCCAACCCCAGGUCCAACCCGUUGGACACUAGCUCCACUGAUGGGGGCCUGCCCCUGAAUGGGACCCCGUGGAGGAUGUUACCCGGGGAGGACCACCACUGUAGGGAGGUGAGCCCCAGUUCUGGCACAGUUCUCCUAUCUCUGGACUGGGAGAACACCGAGGCCAACCAGUGCUGGAGGGGCCUCAUCCUGAGUCUGGUGUGGCGAACCACGUAUGUGCACGCUGACAUGUGACCCAGGAGCUGGAGGCAUGCUCUGGCUGUGGUUACGGGGAACCUUGUGACCGUGUCAAUGAGCCCUUUUAGGGUCUCGAAUCUGUCUGGUGGCCCUGGCUGACAUCGGGUCCAGGACUGCCCCGAUAAACUCCAUGCGCUGCAUCGGGACUAACGUGGACUUGGUGUCAUUUACCAACAGGCCCAGGGUGGCACAUGUGGACAGGAGGAGCGCCAUGUGAUCCCGCACCUGUGACCUGGAGCUGCCCUUGACCAGCCAGUCGUCAAGAUAGGGGAAGAGCUGAACCCCACGACGUCUGAGAGCCUUGCUGUCAAAUGAAAGGUCCUGCAGGGAGUUCUGCGCCUCGCUGGACAGCCCAGACAGCAGGAGCCAUGAUGCCCUCCUCAUGGACACCGCGGAGGCCAUGGACCACGCGGCUGUAUCCGCAGCAUCUGAUGCUGCCUGCAGGGUCGCCCUGGCAGCCGCUGUCCCCUCCUCCACCAGAGCCUUGAACUCCUUCCUGUCACGCUCCGGGAGGGAGUCCUCAGAUUUGGGCAGAGAGCCCCACAAAUUGAACUCAUACCACCUUAGGAGGGCUUGAUGGUUUGCCACCCUUAACUGGAAACUCGAGGACGAAUAAACCUUUCUCCUGAAUAA